Molecule: ribosomal RNA, 279 nt
Filed under: uncultured bacterium
Lineage: Bacteria
Description: partial 16S ribosomal RNA
Rfam family: Bacterial small subunit ribosomal RNA
Source: RNAcentral
UGCCAGCCGCCGCGGUAAUACGGAGGGUGCAAACGUUGCUCGGAAUUACUGGGCGUAAAGCGCAUGUAGGCGGCCAAUGAAGUUUGGUGUGAAAUCCCUGGGCUCAACCCAGGAACUGCGCUGAAAACCAAUUGGCUAGAGUCUCGGAGGGGAGCGUAGAAUUCCGUGUGUAGAGGUGAAAUUCGUAGAUACACGGAGGAAUAUCGGUGGCGAAGGCGACGCUCUGGACGAGAACUGACGCUGAGAUGCGAAAGCGUGGGUAGCAAACAGGAUUAGAUA